AACUGGCCUGUAGCAGCCAAGUGGAUAGCGACCUUGCUUGUUGAUCCUUCCAUAUCAGCUCUUCCCAUCUUUGAGACGCAGAAGGCCCAAAGUGUGUGAAAGCUCAUCCGCCAACAGCCAACAGGGAACGCGAGCUGGGUUUAGACCAUCGUGAGACGGGUA
This 162-nucleotide non-coding RNA is filed under the name Symbiodinium microadriaticum. RNAcentral's name for it is "Eukaryotic large subunit ribosomal RNA". It matches the Rfam family "Eukaryotic large subunit ribosomal RNA", at positions 2828 to 2984 of the family's 3401-position model. The record is from Rfam by way of RNAcentral. Lineage: Eukaryota; Dinophyceae; Suessiales; Symbiodiniaceae.